This 465-nucleotide ribosomal RNA is filed under the name Vreelandella stevensii. Its description in RNAcentral is "partial 16S ribosomal RNA". It matches the Rfam family "Bacterial small subunit ribosomal RNA", at positions 338 to 795 of the family's 1533-position model. Lineage: Bacteria; Pseudomonadati; Pseudomonadota; Gammaproteobacteria; Oceanospirillales; Halomonadaceae. The record is from RNAcentral.
CCUACGGGUGGCAGCAGUGGGGAAUAUUGGACAAUGGGGGGAACCCUGAUCCAGCCAUGCCGCGUGUGUGAAGAAGGCCCUCGGGUUGUAAAGCUCUUUCAGUGAGGAAGAACGCCUGGUGGUUAAUACCCAUCAGGAAAGACAUCACUCACAGAAGAAGCACCGGCUAACUCCGUGCCAGCAGCCGCGGUAAUACGGAGGGUGCGAGCGUUAAUCGGAAUUACUGGGCGUAAAGCGCGCGUAGGUGGCUUGAUAAGCCGGUUGUGAAAGCCCCGGGCUCAACCUGGGAACGGCAUCCGGAACUGUCAAGCUAGAGUGCAGGAGAGGAAGGUAGAAUUCCCGGUGUAGCGGUGAAAUGCGUAGAGAUCGGGAGGAAUACCAGUGGCGAAGGCGGCCUUCUGGACUGACACUGACACUGAGGUGCGAAAGCGUGGGUAGCAAACAGGAUUAGAUACCCUGGUAGUC